This 497-nucleotide ribosomal RNA is filed under the name uncultured bacterium. RNAcentral's name for it is "partial 16S ribosomal RNA". It matches the Rfam family "Bacterial small subunit ribosomal RNA", at positions 30 to 507 of the family's 1533-position model. The record is from RNAcentral.
AUUGAACGCUGGCGGCAGGCCUAACACAUGCAAGUCGAACGGUAACACGAAGAGGUUUGCCUCUUGGCUGUCGCGGGGCGGAGGGGAGAGAAAUGUGGAGGAAACUCCUUUAUGGAGGGGGUAAACUAGUGAAAACGGUAGCUAUAACCGCAAAUCGAUGCAAGCGCAAAGAGCAGGAGUGAAGGGCGGCUUGCCUUUGGCUGUGAGAAGAAGCCCCGCCGGAUUAGCUAGUUGGUGAGGUAACGGCUUACCAAGGCCACGAUUCGUAGCCGAGCUGAGAGGGUGAUCAGCCACACUGGAACUGAGACACGGUCCAGACUCCUACGGGAGGCAGCAGUGGGGAAUCUUGCGCAAUGGGCGAAAGCCUGAUGGAGCCACGCCGCGUGUGUGAAGAAGGCCUUCGGGUUGUAAAGCACUUUCAGCGGGGAAGAAGAGAUUUAUGUUAAUCCCUGCACGUCUUGACGGUACCCAAAGAAGAAGCCCCGGCUAACUACGUG